UUCCACCAGGUUUCUUUUAUCCCUACAGUGUCUGGUUUCACUUCCUGCAGCAGUAGCUCUAGUUCCUCUAUUUUGUUACCCAGCCUCCUUGCAUUGGUGCACAGGCAUCCUAAUAACUGCUGCUGCUUGGCUUCACCCACAUUCCUCGCCCAACUGGGUACAGUCAUUCUGCUUCCAGUAUCACCUUCCUGACUGGAGGGAGGGUAGAAU
Chelonoidis abingdonii (Abingdon island giant tortoise) is the source of this 210-nucleotide non-coding RNA. Lineage: Eukaryota; Metazoa; Chordata; Testudines; Testudinidae. The record is from RefSeq and is a predicted model, not a curated record.